Molecule: non-coding RNA, 112 nt
Organism: Acanthosepion pharaonis
Lineage: Eukaryota; Metazoa; Mollusca; Cephalopoda; Sepiida; Sepiidae
Source: the annotation of a GenBank genome assembly
UACGGCCUUAUCACGUUGAAACACCGGUUCUCUUACGAUCGCCGAAAUUAAGCAACAUCAAGCCUGGUCAGUGACUAGAUGGGUGACCGCUUCGGAAUAGCAGGUGUUGUAA